RNAcentral lists this ribosomal RNA (425 nucleotides) under uncultured bacterium. Its description in RNAcentral is "partial 16S ribosomal RNA". It matches the Rfam family "Bacterial small subunit ribosomal RNA", at positions 354 to 796 of the family's 1533-position model. The record is from RNAcentral.
GUGGGGAAUCUUGCGCAAUGGGCGAAAGCCUGACGCAGCCAUGCCGCGUGAAUGAUGAAGGUCUUAGGAUUGUAAAAUUCUUUCACCGGGGACGAUAAUGACGGUACCCGGAGAAGAAGCCCCGGCUAACUUCGUGCCAGCAGCCGCGGUAAUACGAAGGGGGCUAGCGUUGCUCGGAAUUACUGGGCGUAAAGGGCGCGUAGGCGGACAGGUUAGUCAGAGGUGAAAGCCCAGGGCUCAACCUUGGAAUUGCCUUUGAUACUGGCUGUCUUGAGUACGGGAGAGGUGAGUGGAACUCCGAGUGUAGAGGUGAAAUUCGUAGAUAUUCGGGAGAACACCAGUGGCGAAGGCGACUCACUGGCCCGUUACUGACGCUGAGGCGCGAAAGCGUGGGGAGCAAACAGGAUUAGAUACCCGAGUAGUCC